RNAcentral lists this ribosomal RNA (215 nucleotides) under Campeiostachys nutans. RNAcentral's name for it is "Elymus nutans partial small subunit ribosomal RNA". The stretch from base 46 to 215 matches the Rfam family "Eukaryotic small subunit ribosomal RNA", at positions 693 to 864 of the family's 1831-position model. RNAcentral also lists the same sequence under 2 other names. Lineage: Eukaryota; Viridiplantae; Streptophyta; Magnoliopsida; Poales; Poaceae. The record is from RNAcentral.
GAAUCAAUUUGUUGGUCGUGCCUCGGUACGUACUGGUAUUAUUGGUUUCUACCUUCUGAAGAACCUUGAUGUCAUUAAUUUGGUGUCUUGGGGAAUCAGGACUGUUACUUUGAAAAAAUUAGAGUGUUUAAAGCAAGCAUACGCUUGAAUACAUUAGCAUGGAAUAAUGAAAUAGGACGUUUGAUUCUAUUUUGUUGGUUUCUAGGAUCGACGUA